RNAcentral lists this unclassified non-coding RNA (205 nucleotides) under Hevea brasiliensis (rubber tree). Lineage: Eukaryota; Viridiplantae; Streptophyta; Magnoliopsida; Malpighiales; Euphorbiaceae. The record is from RNAcentral.
AAACUCAGUUCCAAAAGGGCCGCAGCCCUGCACAGUCCAGUCCCAACCCUAACUAAACACACCUGAUCAAACUAAUUGAGUCCUUCCGGCUUGUUUGAAACCUACAGGUAAGUGUGUUGGAGCAGGGCUGCAACCAAACUGUGCAGGGCCUCGGCCCUCCAGGAACCGAGCCCGACACCUCUGUCCUAAGUCAACAAGAGAGAAG